UGCUCCUGCCCUUGUGCAGCCUCAGCCAGCGCUGCCCAGGCCCAGAGGAAGAUGAAGGUCGCUGUGCUCAGCGUGGCCCUGCUCUUCACCAUCCUGCUGAGCCCCCCGGCAGAUGCCAAGGCACUCUUGGCAGGAACCCAAAAUGAUCUGCAGGAGAUUGAUUUAGUGGACGUUGGGAUCCUGGAGACGGCUCAG
This is a long non-coding RNA of Pseudopipra pipra, 195 nucleotides long. RefSeq lists it as uncharacterized. The record is from RefSeq and is a predicted model, not a curated record. NCBI's taxonomy places the organism in Eukaryota, Metazoa, Chordata, Aves, Passeriformes, Pipridae. The transcript is spliced from 3 exons.